RNAcentral lists this ribosomal RNA (426 nucleotides) under uncultured bacterium. Its description in RNAcentral is "partial 16S ribosomal RNA". It matches the Rfam family "Bacterial small subunit ribosomal RNA", at positions 354 to 796 of the family's 1533-position model. The record is from RNAcentral.
GUGAGGAAUUUUCCGCAAUGGGCGAAAGCCUGACGGAGCAAUGCCGCGUGAAGGAUGAAGGCCUAUGGGUUGUAAACUUCUUUUCUCAGAAAAGAAUUAUGACGGUAUCUGAGGAAUAAGCAUCGGCUAACUCUGUGCCAGCAGCCGCGGUAAGACAGAGGAUGCAAGCGUUAUCCGGAAUGAUUGGGCGUAAAGCGUCUGUAGGUUGUUUAAAAAGUAUUCUGUCAAAGAUUAGGGCUUAACCCUAGAUAGGCAGAAUAAACUUUUAAGCUAGAGUUGAGUAGAGGCAGAGGGAAUUCCCGGUGGAGCGGUGAAAUGCGUAGAUAUCGGGAGGAACACCAAAGGCGAAGGCACUCUGCUGGGCCAAUACUAACACUGAGAGACGAAAGCGAGGGGAGCAAAUGGGAUUAGAUACCCCAGUAGUCC